GAUGAACGCUGGCGGCAUGCCUAACACAUGCAAGUCGAACGGCAGCAUGAGACUAGCUUGCUAGUUUUGAUGGCGAGUGGCGCACGGGUGAGUAACGCGUAGGAAUAUAUCUUAAAGAGGGGGACAACUUGGGGAAACUCAAGCUAAUACCGCAUAAUCUCUUCGGAGCAAAGCUGGGGACCUUCGGGCCUGGCGCUUUAAGCAUAGCCUGCGUCCGAUUAGCUAGUUGGUAGGGUAAAGGCCUACCAAGGCGACGAUCGGUAGCUGGUCUGAGAGGAUGACCAGCCACACUGGGACUGAGACACGGCCCAGACUCCUACGGGAGGCUG
RNAcentral lists this ribosomal RNA (329 nucleotides) under uncultured Pseudomonadota bacterium. RNAcentral's name for it is "bacterial SSU rRNA". It matches the Rfam family "Bacterial small subunit ribosomal RNA", at positions 28 to 351 of the family's 1533-position model. Lineage: Bacteria; Pseudomonadati; Pseudomonadota. The record is from RNAcentral.